Molecule: long non-coding RNA, 403 nt
Filed under: Gorilla gorilla gorilla (western lowland gorilla)
Lineage: Eukaryota; Metazoa; Chordata; Mammalia; Primates; Hominidae
Description: lncRNA (ENSGGOG00000044372.1)
Source: RNAcentral
UGUGAUUAUGACAUCACAGACAGUUCAGCUGCUUGCACUGGGGGAAAGGGAGAGUAUCAUGGUUACAGCUGGAUCACCUAAGGCAGAGAGGGAAGGAGCCAACAGGUAUAUGAAGAAGACUGUAUUUCCUCCUCAGGAAGAAAAAAUCACCUAUAAAUACACGAUCUCACUAUGUUGCCCGGGCUGGUCUCAGACUCAUGACCUCAAGUUAUCUUCCCACCUCAGCCUCACAAAGUGCUGGGAUUAUAGGCAUGAACAACUGCACCUGGCCAAUUACAAUCACUCCACUGGCUGCAAUAGAUGCUGACACCAUAUUUGUAUAGCCUUCUGGACUAUGAGCCAAUUAAAACUCUCUGCAUUAUAAAUUACCCAGCCUCAUGUAUUUCUUUAUAGCAAUGCACGA